ACCCGCUGAACUUAAGCAUAUCAAUAAGCGGAGGAAAAGAAACUAACAAGGAUUCCCCUAGUAACGGCGAGUGAAGCGGGAAUAGCUCAAAUUUGAAAUCUCACAGGUUCCCUGUGCGAAUUGUAGUUUAAAGAAGUAUUUUCGGAGGCGCACCAAGUCCAAGUCCUUUGGAACGAGGCAUCAUAGAGGGUGAGAAUCCCGUCUUUGAUUUGGCUUGCGCUUUCUUGUGAUAUACUUUCAAAGAGUCGGGUUGUUUGGGAAUGCAGCCCAAAAUGGGUGGUAUAUAUCAUCUAAAGCUAAAUAUUGGCGAGAGACCGAUAGCGAACAAGUACCGUGAGGGAAAGAUGAAAAGAACUUUGAAAAGAGAGUUAAAUAGUACGUGAAAUUGUCAAAAGGGAAACGUUUAAAACCAGUCUUGUUUCCAAGAUCUCAACUCAUUUAACGGUGAGCCCAUGUUCUUGGCAGCAGGUCAACAUCGGUUCAGUUUGAAGUAUAAAGCUUGUUGAAGGUGGCGUACUUGUACGUGUUAUAGCUUCAAGUCAUGCUUUGGACUGGACCGAGGAAUGCAGUGCAGUCUUGCGGACCCGUUCACGGAUUGAUGCCAUGGGCCAAACUACUUGUAGAUUUGUUUAUGGAUAAGGUCCUCUGGGCGGUUUACGACACCUGUGCUUAGGAUGUUGACAUAAUGGUUUUAAGCGACCCGUCUUGAAACACGG
Molecule: ribosomal RNA, 716 nt
Filed under: uncultured fungus
Lineage: Eukaryota; Fungi
Description: LSU rRNA
Rfam family: Eukaryotic large subunit ribosomal RNA
Source: RNAcentral